This 1419-nucleotide long non-coding RNA is filed under the name Pogona vitticeps (central bearded dragon). RNAcentral describes it as "lncRNA (ENSPVIG00000006093.1)". Lineage: Eukaryota; Metazoa; Chordata; Lepidosauria; Squamata; Agamidae. The record is from RNAcentral.
CCCCCUUAUAUCUUCAUAACGACCCUGCAAGCUAGGCCUGUCUUAGAAAGUAUGAUUGACGCAAAGUCACCUUGGCGGGGAAUUGAACCCAGGUUUCUUGACUCCUAGUCCAGAACUCUUAAGUCUCGCACCACCCUGCCUCCGCCUCUAACUGCAUUCGGGAAGCAGCCGUUCCCACUAAAGAGGCACCCCCUGUUAAUCUUGCAGUCCAUUUCUCUGUCUUGCGUCCUUUCAGAGACGGGCUUUCCCCAAAGAGGACUUGCAGGCAGUGCACGGCGUUUGCACAGGAGAAAAUGUGGCCCAGGACGUGGUUCGAUGGGCUGAGACGGCUCAGGUGGAGAAAGCCGUGGCUUUUUUGCAAAAGCGCCAUGAGGAAGGGGAGCUGCCUCUUUCCUUUAGUGCAAGCAGCGGUGCCGAAGGGAGGACGCUGCAGGCCCUGAUCCAGACAGAGCUACAGGCACAGAUAGAGGAGAAGAAGCCAAAGUGAUGGGAGCUAUUCAGGAAGCAGCAAGACAGGCCACCCAACUCACUGCUGAGGACACGACCUAUUUUCUCCUAAGCGGGUGGCAUUUACGGCAAGCAGCCCUGUUGGAAGCUGGCCUUCCGCUCCAAAAAACUGGCCGACGAACUCCCAAGGAUGAGAGCAAAGCAGGAAACCCAGUGCUGGACCGGCUGGAGGAUGCUCGCCAGGUGGCCAAGCAACUGCAGGAAUUCCGGCAGCGGAAGACCAAAGAGCUCAUAGAUCAGCUGCAACCUUUUUUCCUCCUUGGUGAACAAACACCAAAGAAGGAGACAUCGGUCAUUGGCAACCAAAGAGGGAAUGGAAGGUCCUCGUUAGUAAAGGACGAGAAAGAGAAGAAAGGAAAGGGGAAAUGGGAAAGUUUCCAAGAAGCUCGGUUGGCGGAGAUGGAGAAAUCUUACCGGGGCCAAAUACUGGAGGAAAAAGCGAAAAUGCAGGAUCAGCUGGAAAAGGGUGAAAUCAAGAAAUGGUUGAAGCAGAAGCUGUUGAGAGAACAUGAUGAAACGCUGACCUUCCUGGAUAGAGCAUUCCAGCAAGAUAUGCAGAAGCAGAGAGGAAGGGUGGAGGUGGAGAAAAGGAGGAGACAAGCCAGUCAAGAAGAUGGAAGCUACCCAAUAUCUAAGGAUGCCGCUGUGCAGGAACAGGAUCCACCCAGCCUGGCCGAAGGUGACAAAGUCAACUCCCUCUUGGCGGAAUAUGUCAAGAUGCUGAGACACACUGAACUCCUGGUGCUUUUAAGAACGACCCUCUUGAAUCCUCAGUUCAGGUCCCUUCUUUCUGGUAGGUUUUACUUUCCCAAGGGGCUGGAGACUCAUCUGAAAGGGUUUGGCCAUUUGUUGAGAUUUAAAUUCACCAGCAAAGCAUCUGUGUUUUUGUGUAGACAAGAAGGAAACUGGUGA